AAAUUAAAAUAAUACUAGGGUACUAGAUUAGUUUAAUAGGGAAAGUGAUGAAAAUUCACUACAGCCCCCGCUACUGUAUACGGAUACGAAAUCAAAAUCCACUGAAAUUUAUAAAAAUUUUGGGAAGGGUGAUGGAGGAAAAGCCGUGAGUCAGGAGACCUGCCCAGUAUUAUAUAAGUUCA
This 182-nucleotide non-coding RNA is filed under the name Clostridioides difficile T23. Lineage: Bacteria; Bacillati; Bacillota; Clostridia; Peptostreptococcales; Peptostreptococcaceae. The record is from RNAcentral.